Molecule: ribosomal RNA, 477 nt
Filed under: uncultured bacterium
Lineage: Bacteria
Description: bacterial SSU rRNA
Rfam family: Bacterial small subunit ribosomal RNA
Source: RNAcentral
AUUGAACGCUGGCGGCAUGCCUUACACAUGCAAGUCGAACGGUAACGCGGGGCAACCUGGCGACGAGUGGCGAACGGGUGAGUAAUGCAUCGGAACGUACCCAGUAGUGGGGGAUAGCCCGGCGAAAGCCGGAUUAAUACCGCAUACGACCUAAGGGUGAAAGCGGGGGACCGUAAGGCCUCGCGCUAUUGGAGCGGCCGAUGUCAGAUUAGGUAGUUGGUGGGGUAAAGGCCUACCAAGCCUUCGAUCUGUAGCUGGUCUGAGAGGACGACCAGCCACACUGGGACUGAGACACGGCCCAGACUCCUACGGGAGGCAGCAGUGGGGAAUUUUGGACAAUGGUCGGAAGACUGAUCCAGCCAUGCCGCGUGAAGGACGAAGGCGCUCAGCGUUGUAAACUUCUUUUGGAUGGGGAUAAUAAUCUCGAUUUAUCGGGACUUGAAGGUACCAUCAGAAUAAGCACCGGCUAACUCCGUG